GGAGCCCGAUGAUAAAAGGGAAAUCCGUGAAAACCGGAUGCAGUUCCCGCUACUGUAAGUUCCGCCCUUGCGCAAAGGGCAAGGCCGCACACUCGACAGCCACUGUUUUAAGAAGAUGUCCCAAACGGCAGCUUCCGAAGGCAACCUGACAGGCAGUUUAAAGGACGAAACAAUCGUCACCAAACACUCAGGAAAGCUUCGAUAACGGGAAGGCGUUGCGGCCGGGACGAGCCAGGAGACCUGCCGUUGCAUUU
Molecule: non-coding RNA, 254 nt
Filed under: chicken gut metagenome
Source: RNAcentral